ACUACCUUCUCUCUAUAUUAAUUUGUGUAAGGUGGAUACCGUGCCUUCUGGUUUUCUCCUACAUUUGGCUUUUUUGGAUUAUUAUUUUUGAGGUUAUUACUAGUAUUUUUUUUGUGCAGAUAAAGCCCCUUUCAGUUACAUAUGGCUUGGGCAUAUCAGAUCAUGAUUCUGAGGGACGGCUGUCACUGCAUAGUUUGAUUCAUUCUAUCUCUUGAGCGGUUACGUUCCUAAUUCUGGUGAUGGCCUGAGAAGACUGAUGUAUAGGAUUUCACAGUGGGAUCCAUCUCUUGGUAACUACAUAAAGUAUGUUCAGCACUAUGUAGCCCUUUUGUUUUUUGAUAAAGCUAUUUAGACUUUUGUUCAGGAGUCAUUAUUCACCAUAUCAUGGAUCAAUUCUACAACCUAUGAAGGAACUUGAAAAGUUGAAGCCUGUGAUUUUGACUGGCGAUCUGAAUUGUGCCCAUCAGGAAAUAGACAUUUAUGAUCCUGCGGUAAGGGAAACAAUCAAUGUGCCUUUUCUGCCUUUGAUUGACUAGGUGCAUUAAUAAUUUGCAUGAGCUUUUUAACUGUCACAGGACAAUGUCCUGGCCACACCAUAUGCCCCCCACCCCACUUAAAAGAGGGGAAAAACCCCAAAACAGAGGACUGUAAUCAGGCUUUUCCUCCAUACAACUGAAUUUUGUUUUGGGUUUUUGUUGGGGGGGUGUUUGGGGUUUUGUGUUGGGGGUUGAUAAAAAUCACAAUUUAGGCUGUUUGGCAUCCCGAAACAGAAGUUCUUAAUAUGUCUAAUGUUUCUUAUUUCCGUCAUUAAUCUGAUUGUCAUGAGACUCCAAGGAAAUAAAAGAAGUGCUGGAUUUACAAUUGAAGAAAGGGAAUCUUUUGAGACCAACUUCCUGUUGAGGGGCUUUGUUGAUACCUUUAGAAGACAGUAUCCUCAUGCUGUUGGUUAUACUUAUUGGGGUUAUCAGCAUGGUGGGAGGAAGACAAAUAAAGGGUGGCGGCUCGAUUAUUUUCUUGUUUCAGAAUCUAUAGCAGAAAAG
Molecule: long non-coding RNA, 1040 nt
Organism: Eucalyptus grandis
Lineage: Eukaryota; Viridiplantae; Streptophyta; Magnoliopsida; Myrtales; Myrtaceae
Exons: 4
Source: RefSeq, a predicted model, not a curated record